UUUUCUCCUCUCCCGAACUCCCGACUCCCGUGCAUCUUCUCCCGUGCCCUAAAACGUUGCUUCCGUCUGGCGCACCACCGUUCCUCCUUCGCCCCCUGUUGCUCACACACUGGCAGCCCUUUGCUAAUCCCGCAUCCUCUCUGUCGUGCUCGUCUUCUCCAUAUUUUCCAGCGAUCCCUUCCAUUCAUCACAUCCUCUCUGUUGUGGAUUACUUGGUGUUAGAAAUCAUUCAUAGGUUUCCUUAAUUAUAAGACAUUAUGGGAGGCCAUAAUCCUGGUAUCGAUGUGGAGAAAUAUGAGUGGUCAAAGACUAAUGUUGCCAUGUUUGUCGAGAUCAUUUAUGAUAAAGUGAAGCACAAUAAGUUACAAACAUCUACCUUUAGUAAUGUGGUUUGGGAGGAAAUCAACAAAGAAUUAUAUCAAACUACGAAGAUGAAUUAUGGUGUCGAUAGGCUCAAAGGUAAAUGGAAUCGUCUACACACCAGACAACGACCUUUUUACUGCAUUGCUUGCUCAUACUAGUGUGACAAUGGAUCCAGACACUGGUAAAGUGAAUGCUCCAGAGGAAGUGUGGGCAGAAUUUUAUAUGGUAAAUAUUUUUAUCUAUUCAAAUAUAUAUUUUUAUUGUAUGCUAGUGUAUAAUAAAAUGCUUUCCUAAUCAAUUGUACAGAAAAAUAAAAGGGAGUACAAGUCAAUACAAAUGGAAGGUUGUGAUCAUUUUCACAUUCUUAGUGAAGUUUUUGGUGGGACAAUAGCAACAGGUGAUAUGCAUAGGGCUUCUACUCAAUUACCUCCCACAUCUGAUGAAGAGAGAGAGCUUGAAGAAGCAUUCAUUAAUAGAGGUGUUAACUCAUAUGUUGAAGUCGUUGAUGAUGAGAAUGAGGAUGUCGGAGGGGAACCUAAUAAUCGGUGGCGUCGUGUUGCAGAAUCAUCCAAUAGUCGUCGACGUAAAGAUCCUAAACAUUCAAGAAUUGAAAAGUAUGAGGCUUGUAUGGACAAGUGGAGUAAUACCAUGGAACAGCUGAGUGGAGAAUCUAUUUCUAGACAAAAAUACUUGGAGUUGAAGGCUGCUAAGUUAGAACGUGAACAAGAUAUAUCCUGUUCUUCUGGAACUAGCAUGUUCAAUGAUCCAUACUCUAUACAGAUGUGCAUGCAGAUUUUAAAUGGGAUGGAAUCUUUAUCUAUCCAAGCAUACACAAAAGCUACCGAAGCUUUCCUUAAACUUGGUCUGCGUGAAAUUUUCAUGAAAAUUCCAUCAAAUAGGAGAGCUGAAUGGUUGGAUUGCCUCAAUCUUGAGCACGUGUAGGAUCAUAUGUUGCCAAGUUGAUGGGGAGUGAUUUUAUUACCUAGCCGAAGACUACUUAAUGUUAAUGGAGUUUGUUUGAUUUUGUGGCUUGAAUAUUGAAGACUUGUUUGAUAUUUUGGAAUUUAAUGUUGAAGCCUAUGUUGAUCUUUUCAAUAUGAAUUGUUUAUUCGGUGUUUAUGUGAUGAAUCUAUUGAUAAUUUGAUACAUGUGUGUUGAUUUUAAUAUUGGUUUGAUGCAGAUCAUGUCAAGCUCUGAUAAUGAAUAUGAUGAAUUAGGUCCAGAUAUUAAUUUGCUGAUAGUUUUGGGUAUUGCAAAUGAUUUUUUUCAUGACAUGAUGAUUGAAUAUUUUGGAUACAUUGAUCGAAUGUCGUGUCGAACUUCAUCUCUUAAUGGGAGGAUGUAUAUACAAGAAAUACUUGAUGGGCACCCCCAAGUUUGCUUUGACAAUUUUCGUAUGUCAAAACAUGUGUUUGUUAAUUUUUGUAAUACAUUAAAAGAGAUGAAUCUAUUGCAAGAUAGAAAGAAAGUUGCAGUUGAAGAAGGUGUCGCUAUGUUCUUACUAAUUGUCGGGCACAACACACGACAUCGGAUAUGUGCAGAUUGAUUUCAACAUUCAUUCUACACCAGUAGCAUGUGGUUCAAACGAGUUCUACGAGCUGUUUGUACCUUGGGCACAUAUAUUAUUCGACCAUAUGAACACAAUGACGUCCAUCCUCACAUAUUGAACAAUCCAAAGUGGUUUCCGUAUUUUAAGGUACAUAUGCUACACUAAUGUGUCUACUUACAUUAACAACUUAUCCUUAACACAUUGUGCAUUUUUAGAAUUGUCUUGGAGCUAUCGAUGGGACUCACGUGUCGGCAUGGGCACCAUCAUCAAUUCAGACAUCUUUUCAUGGUAGAAAGGUUAUUGUUACACAAAAUGUGAUGCUUGCAUGUGAUUUCGAUAUGCUUUUCACAUUUGUAUAUACUGGUUGGGAGGGGACAGCAAAUGAAUCCAGGGUGUUCAUAGACGCAUUGACAAGGCAUGAAAAUAAUUUUCCUAAACCUUGCGGUGGUAAAUAACAUAUAAAACUCUAUAUAUAUAUUCAUUUAUGUUGAUAUUUUACAUCAUUAAUAUGGAAACAAUAUAUGCAGAUCAAUUUAUCUUGUUGAUUCUGGUUACCUAAACAUGCCGGGGUUUCUCGCUCCGUAUUGAGGUCGACGCUAUCACUUGUGAGAUUAUCGGGGGCAAGGCAGACCAAGGGGGAAGGAAGAGUUAUUUAAUUAUAGGCACAGUACAUGUCGUAAUAUUAUAGAGCGGUGCAUUGGGGUGCUCAAAGCAAGGUUCCGAAUUUUAAAAGAUAUGUCAAACUAUCCAAUUACUAGGCAAAGAUUAAUUCCAGUUGCAUGUUGUGCGGUGCAUAAUUUCAUACGUCGACAUCAUGCAAUGGAUAAUUUGUUUAUGGAAUACUCUUCUGAUGAUAUGCUUAUGUCCGGAGUCGAAGGUGAUUUUAAUGAUCAAGAGCCGAUUCCAAUUGAUUCAAGUCAAACAGCUCAGAUGGGAAGCAUACGUGAUGAAAUUGCAAGCAAUAUGUGGAAUGAUUAUAUGGUGUACCCCCCAAGUACCCAACCUUAGUUUUCCCUUGAAACAUCAGUCUCUUGCUACAGCCUCGAAAGAAUGAAUAGAAGCUCCAUGGAGUAAAUUCUAAUUUUGCACUCUUGUAAUUGAGCACCUAAAUUGUCACAAGUGUUGGUUUCGAUUUUGUUAUGCUCGCGAUAAUUGGCCUUUAUCUUAUCGUCCUUUUUACUGUUCUGGUCAUCGCAACACAAGGUUUCGAUGAACUUCUACUUAUGAUUCGACGUCCGCCGACUCGCAAGUCCAAAGCAGCAUGAGCAUGAGUCGCGUUUUGUUAUUGACUUAUUUUAGCCAUGUACGAGUUUUUGUUAUUUUUAGUAAUCGAAUUCAAUUGGAAAUUUUGGUGUUAUCUCUCAAUGGACGAUGUAUUGUUAUUGACUUAUUUUAGCCGUGUACGAGUUUUUGUUAUUUCUAGCGAUCGAAUUCAGUUGGAAAUUUGUAUGUUAUUGUUUUAAUUAUGUCUCCUUAAUAAGAUCGAUCAGCAGUAUAA
Molecule: long non-coding RNA, 3410 nt
Organism: Zingiber officinale
Lineage: Eukaryota; Viridiplantae; Streptophyta; Magnoliopsida; Zingiberales; Zingiberaceae
Exons: 5
Source: RefSeq, a predicted model, not a curated record